CGCCUCUUGAACCCCAUAAGAGGUCCAGCCUGCCCAGUGACCCUGUUCAACGGCCGCGGUAUCCUAACCGUGCGAAGGUAGCGUAAUCACUUGUUCUUUAAAUGUGGACUAGUAUGAAUGGCAUCACGAAGGUUAUACUGUCUCCUUUUUCUAAUCAGUGAAACUAAUCUCCCCGUGAAGAAGCGAGGAUAAAAAUAUAAGACGAGAAGACCCUAUGGAGCUUUAAACAAAGUAGCACUCGCCACAUAAAUGAAAAAUUCCAGAAUCACCAUCUUCCUCAGGCAAUCUGACUACACGUUUUUGGUUGGGGUGACCGCGGAGUAUAACACAACCUCCAUGUUGAAAGAAAGCUUUCUAAACUAAGAGCUACACCUCUAAGUAUCAAAAGAUUGACAUCCAUUGACCCAAUAAAUUUGAACAACGAACCAAGUUACCCUAGGGAUAACAGCGCAAUCCACUUCAAGAGCUCCUAUCGACAAGUGGGUUUACGACCUCGAUGUUGGAUCAGGGUCUCCCAGUGGUGCAGCCGCUACUAAAGGUUCGUUUGUUCAACGAUUAAAACCCUA
RNAcentral lists this ribosomal RNA (566 nucleotides) under Duttaphrynus melanostictus (Asian common toad). RNAcentral's name for it is "partial 16S ribosomal RNA". It matches the Rfam family "Bacterial large subunit ribosomal RNA", at positions 1819 to 2598 of the family's 2925-position model. The record is from RNAcentral. Lineage: Eukaryota; Metazoa; Chordata; Amphibia; Anura; Bufonidae.